Molecule: long non-coding RNA, 2346 nt
Organism: Ctenopharyngodon idella (grass carp)
Lineage: Eukaryota; Metazoa; Chordata; Actinopteri; Cypriniformes; Xenocyprididae
Exons: 3
Source: RefSeq, a predicted model, not a curated record
GUCAGCGGGAAUCACAGAAACAUUGCAGUUGAAGUCCAUUUUAAAAGUGUAUAAAACAUACAUUUUAAACAAACAGCCAAACAGCUGCCUAACAUUAGUGAAUGAAAUGUUCAACCCAUGAAGAGGACACAACUGUAAAGCUUUGGGGGUGUUCAUGUUCAUUUUUUAAUGAAACUUACUCACGUUCAAGAGUUGAUAAAUUCAUGAAGCUAUUUUUUGCAGAGGCUCUGCUCUUUCUUUUGAUAUACUGCAUGGUCAGAUAUUCAUGCAACAGAAUAUUCUAGGGGGCCAUGAAAUUUUUGUGAAAAUGAUCAAAAAUGCUGGUGCUGGCUGCCAACUUAAAAAAAAAACAAAAAAAAAAAAAACGAGAUGGAUAAGCUCUGAUGUCCAAAGUUAAGUUCAGAAACAGAAAAAGCAUGAUCACCUAUAAGUGCCGUCGUGGUAUCGUACGUGCCGGCGGUAUAGUCUACAGCUGCUUAUUUGACGCUUAUUUGUUUGUCUGUGAUAUGUCUGUUUGUUUGUGUUGCACAUCAUUUGUGAGCUCUGUAAACUGACAGGAGUUGCACGUGACGCUCAAACACCCGAAAAUCUGUGCUGAACACAAUAUGUGUGCUGCAAUUCUUUAUUUUACAGGUUCAUGAAACCUACAUGAAAAUAAAGCUGUAUGCAAUAACAACUGUGCAGAAAAUUCACAUUGAUCCAAUAGACAUUGGGACAAGGUAAACAUAUAUACAGUGUGUUUGUUUGAAACACGAGAGACAGGCGAGUGUGACAGAAGGGAGGAGAGACACGGUUGAUCAUGCAAUGCACAUUUAAAUGGGUCGUCCUCCAUAAAACCAUAUAAAACUCACACUCUCCAUCCCUAAAAGAAAGACAGACGCCUUUAAUCAACCAUGAAGAAGCUCUUCAAGUGCCUGUGGAUCUUACUGGGUAAAGUACAACAUACAUCUGCUAUUUUACUAGAUUCACACUAAUAUUAGCUGAGGUUUCUGCAAUCUUCCCCUUUGUUUGGAAAUGUUGCUGUUUCUAGUUUAGUUUACACUCAUCUCUCUCUACUGUGGGUUUAUAACAUAUUGUAAUGUGUGAAUUUCUUGCCAAACAAAUAUGCUGUUUCAUACAUUCAUGCUUAUCUAUAAUAAAGUCGUUUUUUUUUUAACCACACUUUUUUUUUUUUUAUCAUGGUUUGCAUUAUGUACUUGUGAUGUAUGUAUGUUUUAUAAUACAAAAGCAAAUAAUAUUGUGAAAUAUUAUUACAAUUAAAAAUAGCUGUUUUCUAUGUGAAUAUUCAACUGUAAUUUAUUCCUGUGAUCAAAGCUGAAUUUUCAGCAUCAUUACUCCAGUCUUCAGUGUCACAUGAUCCUUCAGAAAUCAUUCUAAUAUGAUGAUUUGCUGCUCAAGAAACAUUUAUGAUUAUUAUCAAUGUUGAAAACAGCUGUGCAGCUUCAUAUUGUUGUGUAAAAUGUGAUACAUUUUUUAAAGGUUCUUUUAUGAAUAGAAAGUUCAAAAGAACAGCAUUUAUUUGAAAUAGAAUCUUUUGUAACAUUAUAGCCCGAGUGACUUUUCAGUUUUUUUUUUUUUUUUUUUUAGCUCUACUUUACCAAACAAAUCUUAUGUUAAAUAGAUGCUCAUUUGUAUAUGUAAAUGGUUUGAAUGGUAGUCUGUGUUUGUCAAGAAUGUCUGGUAGUGAUUCCUCAUCCCACUUUAGAUUACAAUAUUCUGUUGGUUGCAGAUUGUUAUUAGUUUAUCAGUUUCCUCCAACAUGCUCAUUAUACAGAUCGAUGUUUUAUGUUUCCAUUAUCAUUCAGAUGAUAUUUUGUUAGUGACAAUAUCAAAGUAAAUUAAAUAAAAAAUGCAAAUCUGAAUGUGAUUCAACAAAACCUGGUUCUCUGAUACUCUCUUGAAUCCUGAUUCCACAGGGUUUUUAUUGAUUGAGGAAAUGGCAAAUGGACAAGAAGAGAACGCAGCACUUUGGGGCAAAACUAGUCAGUCGUCAAAUUAUGGAAACUGGGUACCUACAGAUGCUAUUGAUGGUUUGCUCACCACCUGGGCCCACACUAACACAGAGACUGACCCGUGGUGGAGAGUGGAUCUACUGAAGGUAUACAGAGUGAACAGAGUGACCAUCACUAACAGACCGAGCCAUGAAUCGAGGAUAAAUGGGGCAGUGAUUCGCAUCGGGAACUUCCUUGACAUCUACAACAACCCCAUAUGUGGUGUAAUUUCUACUCUUGCAGCCAGUGCCACGGCCACUUUCUCAUGCGGCGGGAUGGAGGGACGUUACAUGGUUGUUCAUAUUCCUGGAGAUGAGAAGAUUCUUACUCUUUGUGAAGUUGGAGUCUACGGGUA